RNAcentral lists this ribosomal RNA (1372 nucleotides) under uncultured bacterium. RNAcentral's name for it is "bacterial SSU rRNA". It matches the Rfam family "Bacterial small subunit ribosomal RNA", at positions 28 to 1381 of the family's 1533-position model. The record is from RNAcentral.
GAUGAACGCUGGCGGCGUGCCUAAUACAUGCAAGUCGAGCGAACGGACGAGAAGCUUGCUUCUCUGAUGUUAGCGGCGGACGGGUGAGUAACACGUGGAUAACCUACCUAUAAGACUGGGAUAACUUCGGGAAACCGGAGCUAAUACCGGAUAAUAUUUUGAACCGCAUGGUUCAAAAGUGAAAGACGGUCUUGCUGUCACUUAUAGAUGGAUCCGCGCUGCAUUAGCUAGUUGGUAAGGUAACGGCUUACCAAGGCAACGAUGCAUAGCCGACCUGAGAGGGUGAUCGGCCACACUGGAACUGAGACACGGUCCAGACUCCUACGGGAGGCAGCAGUAGGGAAUCUUCCGCAAUGGGCGAAAGCCUGACGGAGCAACGCCGCGUGAGUGAUGAAGGUCUUCGGAUCGUAAAACUCUGUUAUUAGGGAAGAACAUAUGUGUAAGUAACUGUGCACAUCUUGACGGUACCUAAUCAGAAAGCCACGGCUAACUACGUGCCAGCAGCCGCGGUAAUACGUAGGUGGCAAGCGUUAUCCGGAAUUAUUGGGCGUAAAGCGCGCGUAGGCGGUUUUUUAAGUCUGAUGUGAAAGCCCACGGCUCAACCGUGGGGGGUCAUUGGAAACUGGAAAACUUGAGUGCAGAAGAGGAAAGUGGAAUUCCAUGUGUAGCGGUGAAAUGCGCAGAGAUAUGGAGGAACACCAGUGGCGAAGGCGACUUUCUGGUCUGUAACUGACGCUGAUGUGCGAAAGCGUGGGGAUCAAACAGGAUUAGAUACCCUGGUAGUCCACGCCGUAAACGAUGAGUGCUAAGUGUUAGGGGGUUUCCGCCCCUUAGUGCUGCAGCUAACGCAUUAAGCACUCCGCCUGGGGAGUACGACCGCAAGGUUGAAACUCAAAGGAAUUGACGGGGACCCGCACAAGCGGUGGAGCAUGUGGUUUAAUUCGAAGCAACGCGAAGAACCUUACCAAAUCUUGACAUCCUUUGACAACUCUAGAGAUAGAGCUUUCCCCUUCGGGGGACAAAGUGACAGGUGGUGCAUGGUUGUCGUCAGCUCGUGUCGUGAGAUGUUGGGUUAAGUCCCGCAACGAGCGCAACCCUUAAGCUUAGUUGCCAUCAUUAAGUUGGGCACUCUAAGUUGACUGCCGGUGACAAACCGGAGGAAGGUGGGGAUGACGUCAAAUCAUCAUGCCCCUUAUGAUUUGGGCUACACACGUGCUACAAUGGACAAUACAAAGGGCAGCGAAACCGCGAGGUCAAGCAAAUCCCAUAAAGUUGUUCUCAGUUCGGAUUGUAGUCUGCAACUCGACUACAUGAAGCUGGAAUCGCUAGUAAUCGUAGAUCAGCAUGCUACGGUGAAUACGUUCCCGGGUCU